Molecule: ribosomal RNA, 531 nt
Filed under: uncultured bacterium
Lineage: Bacteria
Description: partial 16S ribosomal RNA
Rfam family: Bacterial small subunit ribosomal RNA
Source: RNAcentral
UGGGGAAUAUUGCACAAUGGGCGAAAGCCUGAUGCAGCAACGCCGCGUGAGUGAUGAAGGCCUUCGGGUUGUAAAGCUCUGUCUUUUGGGACGAUAAUGACGGUACCAAAGGAGGAAGCCACGGCUAACUACGUGCCAGCAGCCGCGGUAAUACGUAGGUGGCAAGCGUUGUCCGGACUUACUGGGCGUAAAGGAUGCGUAGGCGGAUUUUUAAGUGAGAUGUGAAAUACCCGGGCUUAACUUGGGUGCUGCAUUUCAAACUGGGAAUCUAGAGUGCGGGAGAGGAGAAUGGAAUUCCUAGUGUAGCGGUGAAAUGCGUAGAGAUUAGGAAGAACACCAGUGGCGAAGGCGAUUCUCUGGACCGUAACUGACGCUGAGGCAUGAAAGCGUGGGUAGCAAACAGGAUUAGAUACCCUGGUAGUCCACGCCGUAAACGAUGAGUACUAGGUGUAGGAGGUAUCGACCCCUUCUGUGCCGCAGUUAACACAAUAAGUACUCCGCCUGGGAAGUACGAUCGCAAGAUUAAAACUU